Small nuclear RNA from Portunus trituberculatus (swimming crab), 184 nucleotides. RefSeq annotates it as U2 spliceosomal RNA. The record is from RefSeq and is a predicted model, not a curated record. The transcript has a single exon. Lineage: Eukaryota; Metazoa; Arthropoda; Malacostraca; Decapoda; Portunidae.
AUCUCUCCCCCUUCAUAUGUGUGUGUGUGUGUAGUAUUUGCUCUUAUCAGCUUAAUAUCUGAUACGAUCCCCAUGUGGGAUCUAUGAUAUUAGUUUGAUUUUUGUACUAUGGUGAAGUGCUAGGGGCUUGCUCCAUCUUUGCCGAUUGGCCCAGUAUUGCAGUACUUCAGGGAUCGGUCCUGUG